Molecule: ribosomal RNA, 345 nt
Filed under: uncultured Helicobacter sp.
Lineage: Bacteria; Pseudomonadati; Campylobacterota; Epsilonproteobacteria; Campylobacterales; Helicobacteraceae
Description: bacterial SSU rRNA
Rfam family: Bacterial small subunit ribosomal RNA
Source: RNAcentral
GACGGGUAUCCGGCCUGAGAGGGUGAACGGACACACUGGAACUGAGACACGGUCCAGACUCCUACGGGAGGCAGCAGUAGGGAAUAUUGCUCAAUGGGGCAAACCCUGAAGCAGCAACGCCGCGUGGAGGAUGAAGGUUUUAGGAUUGUAAACUCCUUUUGUUAGAGAAGAUUAUGACGGUAUCUAACGAAUAAGCACCGGCUAACUCCGUGCCAGCAGCCGCGGUAAUACGGAGGGUGCAAGCGUUCUCGGAAUCACUGGGCGUAAAGAGUGCGCAGGCGGGAUAGCAAGUCAGAUGUGAAAUGCUAUGGCUUCCAUAGAACUGCAUUUGAAACUGUUAUUCUA